CCUACGGUGGGCAGCAGUGAGGAAUAUUGGUCAAUGGACGAGAGUCUGAACCAGCCAAGUAGCGUGAAGGAUGACUGCCCUAUGGGUUGUAAACUUCUUUUAUAAAGGAAUAAAACGAGGCACGUGUGCCUUUUUGCAUGUACUUUAUGAAUAAGGAUCGGCUAACUCCGUGCCAGCAGCCGCGGUAAUACGGAGGGUCCGAGCGUUAUCCGGAUUUUUUGGGUUUAAAGGGAGCGUAAAUGGGUUGUUAAGUCAGUUGUGAAAGUUUGCGGCUCAACCGUAAAAUUGCAGUUGAUACUGGUGGUCUUGAGUGCGGUUGAGGUAGGCGGAAUGCGUGGUGUAGCGGUGAAAUGCUUAGAUAUCACGAAGAACCCCGAUUGCGAAGGCAGCAUACUAAACUGUGACUGACAUUGAUGCUCGAAAGUGUGGGUAUCAAACAGGAUUAGAUACCCCAGUAGUC
This 460-nucleotide ribosomal RNA is filed under the name uncultured bacterium. Its description in RNAcentral is "partial 16S ribosomal RNA". It matches the Rfam family "Bacterial small subunit ribosomal RNA", at positions 338 to 795 of the family's 1533-position model. The record is from RNAcentral.